Molecule: ribosomal RNA, 354 nt
Filed under: Triticum aestivum (bread wheat)
Lineage: Eukaryota; Viridiplantae; Streptophyta; Magnoliopsida; Poales; Poaceae
Description: partial small subunit ribosomal RNA
Source: RNAcentral
AUGCAUUCUUUGUCAUGUAACAGCGUUCCUAAGCUAUUACUGAAUGAUCACGGUUUUUUUCAACACGUCCUGGACUUUACAUUUGAUAUAUACAUCAAGUUUCUGGGACAGAAAACCAUCAUGGACAACAUAUAUUUUUGCUCCUUUUCACCCACUCUGUUCUUUCUAUCGGGGUUGAUCCCCAAAUCAGUUUUGCUCUCAGCAAGGGUGCUUCGCUGUAUCAAUGACGAGCCAUCCUUACCUAGCUAUGCGCUCGACAACUGCAGCCAAGAUCGCUUCCUCUCUUCUUUCCCCCCUCCCCCCCCCCCAAAUUUUUUGGCUCUGUGUGUGAUGGGAAAGGGGGCUGGGCGAUGA